AACAAGGCGUACCUGCGGACCUGCGGAAGGAUCAUUACUGAACGAGUUCGUGUGCUGGCAGCACCGCCGGUGGGUAUGUACAGCGGCGGGGGACAGGCUGGUCCCCGGAGGCGGUUCGACGCUUCUCCGUCGCGUACGUACGUUCAGGCGGACAAAAUACGUGUAUCUAGCUUGCGGCGGACAGCGCUGAGCGCAGCUGAUUGGAGAGAUGGCCCUGUUGACGGUGCUGUGCGUCCCUGU
Molecule: unclassified non-coding RNA, 240 nt
Filed under: soil metagenome
Description: partial contains 5.8S ribosomal RNA, internal transcribed spacer 2, and large subunit ribosomal RNA
Source: RNAcentral